UACGUAGGGUGCGAGCGUUGUCCGGAAUUAUUGGGCGUAAAGAGCUCGUAGGCGGUCUGUCGCGUCGAAUGUGAAAACCCGGGGCUCAACUCCGGGCUUGCAUUCGAUACGGGCAGGCUAGAGUUCGGUAGGGGAGUCUGGAGUUCCUGGUGUAGCGGUGAAAUGCGCAGAUAUCAGGAGGAACACCGGUGGCGAAGGCGGGACUCUGGGCCGAUACUGACGCUGAGGAGCGAAAGCGUGGGGAGCGAACAGG
Molecule: ribosomal RNA, 253 nt
Filed under: uncultured bacterium
Lineage: Bacteria
Description: partial 16S ribosomal RNA
Rfam family: Bacterial small subunit ribosomal RNA
Source: RNAcentral